AGGAAACCUUCAGGUAGGGAGCAGCUCAGUGAGUUUUCAAGGGGAAUUGAACUCAACAGGCAUUCCAAGGCCCUGAUCUGUGUGAAUCAUUACUGAAGGGUCAAGAUUUUACCUGAAGGAACCUUCAUCCAGGAAGGACUUGAAACAGGGCGCUAACUGCAAAUGUGACCUGCAGAAUAGAGUCUGUGUCCACCAUGAACAGACCGUUAGAGGUUCUGUUGGUCAUGUUCUGUGACAAAGCUCCUUUCACCAUAUGUGCACCGUAUGUCAUCUAGACUUGUUAUGGGACAGUAGCAGGGAAUCCAGGACAAGCAGGAAUGGGAUCUUCCUAAGAGACCACACUGAAUUCUACCUCAGAACAUCACAUGGGAUAGAAACGGAGAUUUACUGGUCCUCAUCAGGGUCAAGGAUUGAUCUGAAGAACAUUAAUCCAGGAUGGACUUGUAUCAGGAAAUAAUCUAAAUUGGGCCUUCAGAAUAGAGACUGUGUCCACUUUGAACAGAUGUCUGGAGGUGACACAGGCUGGAGAUUUCACGCUGUGGACUGAAAGAGAAGUAGGAAAUAUGCAGAAAUUACAAAUUACAGUGUGCCCAGAAUCCAGCAUGAAGUCUGUGUCCAGCACAGGAGGAGGUCAUGGAAUCCCACAAGAGACACCACAAGCAGACCCAAGGCUCCAAACCCAUGUGCUUGUCUCUAAGCUUGUGAAUCUCAGAAUGAAGAUAUGAUGCCCAAGAGAGCAGGUGAGCAUAAUAUGAACAUUUU
Long non-coding RNA from Mesocricetus auratus (golden hamster), 762 nucleotides. RefSeq lists it as uncharacterized. The record is from RefSeq and is a predicted model, not a curated record. Lineage: Eukaryota; Metazoa; Chordata; Mammalia; Rodentia; Cricetidae. The transcript has 7 exons.